RNAcentral lists this ribosomal RNA (253 nucleotides) under uncultured bacterium. Its description in RNAcentral is "partial 16S ribosomal RNA". It matches the Rfam family "Bacterial small subunit ribosomal RNA", at positions 524 to 776 of the family's 1533-position model. The record is from RNAcentral.
UACGUAGGGUGCAAGCGUUGUCCGGAAUUAUUGGGCGUAAAGAGCUCGUAGGCGGUCUGUCGCGUCUGCUGUGAAAACUCAGGGCUUAACCCUGAGCUUGCAGUGGGUACGGGCAGGCUCGAGUUCGGUAGGGGAGACUGGAAUUCCUGGUGUAGCGGUGAAAUGCGCAGAUAUCAGGAGGAACACCGGUGGCGAAGGCGGGUCUCUGGGCCGAUACUGACGCUGAGGAGCGAAAGCGUGGGGAGCGAACAGG